AGAAGCUCUUAAUAAAUUAAAAGUUACAAAAAGCAAUUUACAGAGUGUUUUAUGUAUGUCACUACAAUGAGGUUUUAUUGGUGUGAUAUCAUAAUUUGGCUGUCUCUGGUCCCUUUCUCUUGGCAGCUCUAGCUCUAAAGACAUUAUGCGCUUGACAUGCCAGCUCAGGGAGCUGAAUGCCAGAGGUCUGCUUUAUUUGGGCAGUAAUCAACAGGACUUGUAGGUUUACCUAAGGACUUCUACAUCAAUUCUUCACGUAUCGCAUCUUGGGGUCUUUCUUGUUUGACUUUAGUAAUUGCUUUUUUGUGCAAAGAGACUGACUAAAUUCAUCAGGAUUCACUGUUGAAAUUGCAUGGUUUUCAGUUGCUUUCCAAAUUUCCCACAAAAUUAUCUGUGUUUACAAAUGUAUCCGGAUUUUACUUUGAACUUGAUUCCUUCCUCCUGCCCUUAAAGAUAAAUGAAUUCCUAAACAUGUUUGUACUUGCAAAUUCAUAGAUUUAUACACUUCAUGCCACUUUAAUCCCUAUUAAACUAAUCUGAAGUCAUGUCAGGCCAACUAUCCACAGUAAAAUGGAUUAGACAAGCCAGUUGAUCAGAGAUAGAAAUGAUUCUGGUUUCUUUUCUGUCUAGCCUCUGUGCAUUUAGAGCACUAUUUUCAUACAAACAAUUUUGUUCUCUUUAAUUCCUUUCUGAUUAAGCUAAUUCAAAAAUAACAUUUGUUCUUAGAGAAUCAUUAGUGUGAAGCAGAGCAGACAAUGCUUUUAAUUAGGUCUUUUUGUACCUCCUCUAUCCAUUUAGUAAUAAAAUUACUUCUGUAUUAAUUGAUUAGCUAUUUUAAUUUACACAGCAAUAAGUGCUUAGAUGCAGUGGUCACGAAAAAACAGCUUUGUUAAAUAAUUUUCUAAGUAUAGGUGAUAUUUGUUUCCUGGAGAAGUGAAAGAUGUUUUGUUUAAAAGCUUUGUGAUGCAUGUGCUGUAGCUUCUGACAGUUCUUCUCAGCAGAAUGUAAUAGACCUCUCACUGAAUUUUAAGGAACUUAGUAUGUACUAGUUCAGCUUUAUUUUUAUUUCUAACAGAGACUCUUGUAUAGCUAAAGAAGUAUGUAUGUUCAAAUUAUGUAAAAGACCUCUUUGUACAAAGGGAGUCUUAGGCUGGGAAAGAAUGCUUAUCUACUGAAUUGUAAGAGGAGUACUGCAUUUUUUAUUGUAUUUUUAAUUCUUUUAAUAUUUGAAACAAAGAAACAAAGUAACGUACUUCAGCUUACGAAAGGGAAUAGUCAUUAAAAAUUGUUGUUGGGAACCAAUUCUUCACACAUCUUUUGAAGUGGAACAAAUUGCUGUUUAUAAUAAUGGAUUAACAUAAUUAGAUCACACACAAUCUCUGUUCAAUUGGCCACAUUAACAGAAAUAUAUGAUAAGAAUAUUUCUAUAGUUCUGCUUUCCACAUUUUCUUUUGAGAACAGUGGCUUGACUUCUCAGCUACUCUAAAUUCUUCAUACUGAAGGAUGGAAAUGCAAUGAGGCUGUAUAAUUACUUAAUUAUAAAUUACCUCACUCAAAUGACCUUAUACCGAUUGGUUGUCUUCACAAAAUGUCUGUGCAAAUAUUAAUCAUAACUGCUUCCUCUGCCUUUCUUCCACAGAAGGAAAUUUCCUGGCCACAUCAACACAUGCAUAUCACAUUGCAGCAUGGCAGCUGGCUGACCCAGUCCUACCUACCCUCACCCAUCCUACCCAUUCUCAAACACUUGCUCCCUACUUAAGAAUGAGAAUUUCACUGUCAUCCCACUCCCUCCAUAAUGUCAUACCAUGGUUGGAACAACAGCAGACAAUACUUUAUCAUUCUCCUUAUCUGUUGAAAGGUUUUGCGCAUGGUAUGGAUGUGCAUAAAAUUCUCUGAUCCUUAUAUAUGUCAGUAAGAGUGGAAAAGGAAAGAAUUCAAGAGGCUUUUUCUACAAUUGUUGGUAUGCUCUUCAAUGCACUUUUUUCAGGCCAUGACUCAGAUAAAGAAGGGAACAGCUAAAUGAAAGGGAAAAUGAAAAUGAGCUCUCCUAAUAGAGGUUUAAAGCAAAGGGUCUGAUAUCCAGGAAAGACCAAUUUUGAGCUCAGAGCUGCAGCUCAUACUAAGGAGGUUUGCUGCACUUGCUCAUUCCUGUUUAAAUCAGCUGUCUUUUCUGAAUCUUACAGCAACACAAUGGUAGAAACAGCUAAGAAAAAGCAAGGAUUAGUAAAAUGGUUUCUAGUGGUAUUCUUCAUUUUGCUCUAAAGCAUGGGGGAAGGGGGAAAUAGUUAGUGUUCAGAGGUAAGAAUGAUAUUUACUAUCAUACAACUGUUUUCUCUCCCUUACCUAUGGGUGAAGCUUCAAUCAUUUAGAAACCUCUAAAUGCAAAUAUGUUUCUAGUUGAAUUUAUUCAGUGUAUGUGUUUAUCAGGAAAAAAACAGAAGAAAAUCUCCUUUACCCCAUAUUAAAAAAAAUAUAUCUUUGAGUACAGAGGCAAUUAUUUUUGUGUUCCAGCACUUUGCCACAGAAAAAAUCAUCAGAUUGAUGCAUUCUGCUGAUUGAAUGAGGACCAAAUCCUUUGGGGAGAAAAAGGGAAAACAAAACAUGUAAUCAUGUGGUCAGAUACUGCAUAUUUGGGGUGUUCUGCAGUACUAGAAUAUUUGACUUUUUUGUAAGGAUUUAUCAGUCUCUUAAGAUAGUUUUUACAUGCUGUAUUUAUAACUCUGGCUUGUGCAUCUUCUUUGUUUUCCCCUACCUUUUGUCUGUCUUAGCUGUUGCUUUACACCUAGCUAAAGACUGAAAGCUCUUAGGGUAUGAAAAUUAUCUUCCCGUAAGUAUGGAAAGCAACUAACAUUUGACAAUAUCAUAACAAUAACCUGAGUUACCAUUUUAAGUUGCAAAAGGUCACUGCUUAAAGAGACAGGAGACAAAAGAAUGUACAUUGUUAAGGAAAACUAUUUUGGUGUUAAACAUCUCAGCAUUUAUAGGGGUGCAAAACAUUUCUCCUUGGAUAUCUUAAAAAACUGUUUGGAUGUGGUGCUCGGGGACAUGAUUUUGAUGUCGGUUGUUAGAGUAUGGCUAAGUUGUGAUUGGAGUUGAUGUUCUUCAAGGUUGUUUCUGACCUGAGCAGUUCUAUGAUUUCAAGAAGCUGAUCUUAUAGCUGAGUAAUGGCUAGCUAUUUUACAGAUUUUUCUGUAUUUGACAAGAGAAAAUGCAGGAAAAAAAGUUCCUUCCACUUCACGGGGUAUUGCUGGUGUAACUUGUCCUACAGGAGUAGGCAUGGUGACAGAAAGAGACUCUCAAAGGGAAGAAUCUGAUCCAACUUUUCUGGAGUAUGUUUGGUCAUUGGCUCAACUUAAUUCUCCCAACAAGCAGUGAUUGUUCUUCAGUAACAGAAGAAAUCGGCCAUACUAGCUGCCUUACUGACCGUAUGAUUUUGUUCUUUGUGUGUGUACGUGGCUGGCAAUAGUUUAAGACAACUUCCAGCAUCUUAUGUUCAAAGCAACUGGCUUGGUGGGAAGGAGGGAUGGACAGCUUGGGUUAGCCAGGCAAGUACUGGACAAAGAGUAAAUAAGAUGGGUUGAGAAGGCUCAGCAACAGCACAGAUCUCCUUGACUUCAGUGAGAGUGCAGAGCAAGGGAGCCUGCUGACACCUGCAAGCAUACAGCACAAGGAGAUGACUGAAACUUAAGGAUGGGUCCAACCGCUUGGCUCUGUGUGAGUGCAAAUAAUGAAAGCCAAGUUGCAUAUUUUGGAAGGAAAUUCCCCUUUACUUGUGGCACCCCUUCAGUCGGACCACAAAGAAUUGCAAUGAUAGGAGGGUUUGAGAGGAGCUGGAUGUGUAUCAUCUUUCAGACUGAAUCAAUCAAAAUACCAUGAACUGCAGAGCAGCUGAUUUGGGACAACCAUCCUGCAGGAGACAAGAAGCUCUUCUAUCUGUUGGGCUUAAGCCAAGAGAGAAAACCAGGCUGGUGCUGGUCAGGCUGUGCAAGUUGAUUUCAUCACCCAUGUCCCCUGUCAUCUCCUUUUCCUGAGGAUAACAGAGCGGCUGGCUCUGGGGGAUUUUCCAGCAUAGCCACCCAAUUUCUGCACCCCCAGGGAAGCCAAAAUAGCAAAAAUGGAGCAAGAUUAAAUAUUUUCUCAUACAGAGUAAGAAGACAUUUCAAUCAUCUCAAUCAAGAUUCCCAUCUGGAACAAUGCUCUCUACUUGCAGGAUAUAAAUACAUCUCUCUACCUGACUGAUCUGAAACCUCACUCAGCAUUCAAUGUAUGAUUUGCUCCUAAUGUGGCAGUUGUGCAAGAUGCAGAGUAAUUCUACCUUACCACUCAUAGUCCCCAGAUCUCAAUUUCCCUCAGAGUACUUGAGACCAAAACCUGAACUCCCCAGUAAGUCUGCUGAAAGAUCUUUUCCCCUGUGUUUGAAUGAAAGUGUUCAACUGGGCUUGAGGUCAAUACUCCCAAGAGUAUUUACAAACUUUACAAAGCUGACCUGUGGCAAAAAAUCCCCUCCAGGUGCUGAAGAAUUCACUGACACACCUUUGCUUCAUGCGCGCUUCCAUGUCAGACGCCAUUUUGUCAGAAUGCCCCUCUGCUG
Non-coding RNA from Meleagris gallopavo (turkey), 4591 nucleotides. The record is from RefSeq and is a predicted model, not a curated record. Lineage: Eukaryota; Metazoa; Chordata; Aves; Galliformes; Phasianidae.